CUAGAGUCUUUCAUAGCCCCUGGCGAGAAACAGGCACUUCCACACUGUGCAUCAUCUUCUUCCAGGGCAUAAUGGAAGUGGGUCAAAUGAAUCACACGCUGGAAAUGCCAGUUUUUCUCCGUGGGAUUCAGAUGUAGGCAUGAACCAAGCUGGAAAGAUACCCCAUUGAAGAUUAAAUUCUUACUUAUGCCAUAAAACGCCAACCUAUGAAAGUGACGUGCUACUGAGGCCAUAAGAGUGACAGGAACUGGAAAAGCACUGGAAAACUUUGACUGGUGUACAUUCAAGGGAAGCUACUCUUUGCCAAUUAUAUUUUCAAUGGGUACAGCAAGUCAACUAAAGACCUUCAAAAAUAAAUAGCUAUGACAAGAAGUGAUUAUCGCGUGGGUUACUGUCUGCCAGAUGAUUUCAGGUUCAGAUAUCUAAAGAAUAACCAGGGAAUGUAUCAGCUUUCCCAUUGAACCAAGGCUCUCUGACCCAACUCUAUGUGAAGAUACACCUAGUAGGUGACACAGCUGAAAGUUCAGAUACAGCUACUGGCAGGGCAUGAGAAUGUAAGUGGUGAAAUAUCCUCUCAACAGUGCUUGAAAGAGUUCUACUGUUAAAUAACAUCUUUUAAAUUGUAGCUAGUACCUUGGAAACAGACAUCUUCAGUAGAAUCAAUUAUGAAGAGAACAGGCAUGAAUUACUUGCACUGUCCAUAGGUAUCUACUUUUUUGUUUCUAAUCUGGAUAGAAACUGACAAUUCAGAGAGCUUGACUUAGAAGCCUUCUUCCCACAGGCAUGUUCUCCUAAUUCACGUGU
This is a long non-coding RNA of Oxyura jamaicensis (ruddy duck), 804 nucleotides long. RefSeq lists it as uncharacterized. The record is from RefSeq and is a predicted model, not a curated record. NCBI's taxonomy places the organism in Eukaryota, Metazoa, Chordata, Aves, Anseriformes, Anatidae. The transcript has 4 exons.